RNAcentral lists this long non-coding RNA (521 nucleotides) under Aotus nancymaae (Ma's night monkey). RNAcentral describes it as "lncRNA (ENSANAG00000039085.1)". Lineage: Eukaryota; Metazoa; Chordata; Mammalia; Primates; Aotidae. The record is from RNAcentral.
GUGGAGGCAGCAAGGAGGUGGGUAAGGAGGAAGCCCAUGUAUUUCAUGUUUCUUAUAAUCAGUUUCUUUCAGGGACUUCUUCAGGCACUGCCUGAUCCCUGCACAAUGCUCCUGCUCCUGAUCAAGGAAAAGACAUGUGAUUUUGCAGUCUCCUUUAGCUCUCCUUCAUGGAAAUGAUUCUCUUGAUACUGAAACUAAAACAUCAUCUAGGCAUGGCUGAAAAGUAUGUGUGCCAACAUAGGAGAUGUCUUGGCUAAGAAAGUGGAGAAGUGACAUUCACAGAGAAGACGUCAUGGAAGAGAAAGGCAAACAAAGACAGAGGCUCCUCCUUGAAAGUUCAAUGCAAGAGUAUACAGUGAUCACCACCACGCCAGAGCCCACAGAAGAUAGCAAAGAAAAAAGAAUACAUACUUGGAUCUAAUUCAUACUUUUGUUCUGAUAAUUAAAUGUGAUUUUUAAAAAAUGCUAAGCACAUUGACUGGGUUAUAGUAAUGUUUACCAAAUCAUGUCGUUUAGUUUUU